GUGCAGGUUAACCUGAAGCCCAAGAUGGUUAGCGUGGGCACACAGACUUCAAUCAGCCCACAAACCUCCACUCCCCUCGCUAGUCCUGAACAGACAGUUGACAACGACGAUGAUGAUAAUGCCACUGUCAUCAGUGACUUGUCGUGGGUGCCCGAAGAGCCGAUGGAUGAGGAGGAAUUGUUUGAUGAGGAGCCACCUUACACGUGUGACCCCCACCACAAUUGCAUUGACAAAUUCAUUGUUUGCCAAGAGGAGCUGAUGGGCCUUUUUGCCAUCUGUCCGGCCUGUUGUGAGAGGUCGGAUAGUAGCAUCGUGCAGCAGGAAGGAACUUUUGUUAAGAUCAAGCAGGUCUGUGCAUCAUGUGGCUACCACCGUUUCUGGCAAAACCAGCCAAUGCUCCACAGGAACAUGCGCUGCAUUAUAAUCACAAUGCCAAUCGCGAGACAGCACGGAGAAGUGACGGGACAGAGAAGUACUGCGUGCGGUAUCCGCGCUUCAGAAAAGGUGCCCAUGUGGUGCGUCCCAUCAAAGAGGCAGCCUCAUACGGUUAUGCAACAUCAUUAAUGAAGGCCCUUCGGGAGAGCUACGCCAAUUCACCCGCGGUUCUUCGAGAGGUUGGCGCCAAUUUGUCCUCCGAUGCACCCGCCCCCAUCGCCAAAUCCUUCGAACAGAUUCCUAAGGAGGAGGCCAUCGGCCUCUACCUAGCCCGGCAGUCACGCUUUGAGAAAACCUAAUUUCACAUUAUUAUUUUUUUCCACGGACAAGUCCAAUGAUUUAGUUGUUAUUUGCAUGAAAUUUCUUUGUAUGUAAUUCAAAAUAAUUCGGUAAUCAUUUUACCUGUGCCUUGUCAACCUCUGUGUGCGGUGUUGUCUGGGCUCACUGUGUGUCUGCUUGAUGUGCUUUUGCAUGUAUCACUGCAUGAAAUAGUGUGUGUGUGUGUGUGUGUGUGUGUGAGAGAAAGAGAACCAUCAACUGACCCUCGGGUAUGACUACACUAUUGCAGAAUUUAUUAGAAUUAGAAUUAAACAUUGCGGGUCUAGCCCUUCAUCAGUGUUCCUUGUAUGUUUUGUGCCUAACCAUUUUUUUAUAUAGAUUUAAUUCCAACCUGUGUCUUUGUUCAGUAACCAUUACAAGCAAUGCCAAUCAACUUUUUUUAUCCAAAAUGCAUGUGUUCUGUGUACUUUAUAACAUUUUAAGGGCAAUUGAAUGAUCACAACAGAAUAAGCAUAACUAUUAUUUUUAUUCAUUUUAAUCCAAACAAGGCCAUUGAAAGCCCUGAUAGGUCUGGUCACCAUUCUGGAAUUGCUGUCUGAUGGUUGAAACCACACAAGAGGGUAGAGGCUUCCUUAUACUCCUCCCUAAAACGCCAUAAGCCCAGCGUAUAGCUUGCCUGUACGCAGUGUACCGGUAUUGCCUAGGGAUAAGUAGGAAAGAUUCUUAAGUUUAAAACUGUAAGUAGGUUGGAAACGUCAUUUUAAGCCUGUUUCUUAUGCAUGUUUAUUGUGUAUGCAACACAUCUCCUGUCACCUAUAACUGUUGGUUCAAAUGACUCAGUGUAAAAAGAUUUGUAAAGUAAACAUAAACCAUGAACAUACUCGUGCGUGCUGGCUUGAAGGGGACCAUGAGUGUGUGUAUGCUAUUUUUAGCACAAACGGAUUCAGGCAGCAUGCCUCAAAUCCAGGAUGCUGCGUUAGGCACGUCACAUCUGCUGGCCGCGGGGUGAGCUCCUCGACCAGCGACCAAAACGCGCUCACCUCCCUACAACACAAGCUCUCCACCACAGUUUCCAUGGGACGACACCGCCCACACAGACACCUGCCAAACACAGCGACACAGACACGCUUACUGCUCUCUCCCGGUAAGCGGUACCCUGACAGUUUCAAUGACAAUCAAUCACGAGGAAAACGAGUUAGCACUAUCAAAAAUAAUCACACUGAAGACAUAACCAGCCUACUCGGCGUCGGCUACGUUUGCAAACAACAUUUUCACCGGAGAAAGGUAAAAGCUUAGAAUAAACACUAGGGGUUCACAGGUGGGACUGUCAAGCUAGCCCAUAUUUAGAAUAAAUAGAAGGCAUAAUAUGCCUUCUAUUUCUGGAUCUUCUGACUAAGUUUAGGGUACUUAUCUGAGCCAAUGACAUAAUCACUGUCACUAGAUAUAAAGAAAACGUUGACUUUCAUUCGAUGCUAUUCACUGACAGUAAAAGAAAAUAAGUUAUUGUAUGCACUGCUGUUCAUAGACUACUAGCUCCAGCGCUCCUUGCUGCGUUUCUAAAUGGUAGCAACUCACCAGGACACUUCACCAACUCUCCACUCAUUCUCCUCUGACCAUGCAUUUAUUUGUCUUUGACGGCCAUCGGCUCUCGGGAUUUCCUCAUUUCCCCUCAUACGCCUAACCGGUUCGAAAUUAUAUGGCUGUGGGCCAUCAUAAAUGUUGACAGUGGGUCUUGCUACCUCUUCCUCAUCCCCGUCCGCCAUAAUGCUAGUUCUAAUGCGUCUACCCUAUGUGACGUCAUCGCCAAAUUGCGUAAAAAAUAACCGUUACUAACCAAAAACUACAAAAACUGGACUUUAACACCAUUUUGGAGACAUUUCUAACUUUAUAUACAUAUUUUGAGUGCUUUAUGUACCCAUUAAUCAAAACUUCCGGUUAACCUGCACCAUGGGCUUUAAGUAACAACAACUUUUAGGAAGAUUUUGAGUUUAAACUACUCAUUCCAAUUAAUUAUUUUGAGCAUUCGGGUUUACAGUGUUUCUAAAUGGGUGUAGCUAUGAAUAAUAACUAAGAUAAA
RNAcentral lists this long non-coding RNA (2791 nucleotides) under Gadus morhua (Atlantic cod). RNAcentral's name for it is "lncRNA (ENSGMOG00000027161.1)". The record is from RNAcentral. Lineage: Eukaryota; Metazoa; Chordata; Actinopteri; Gadiformes; Gadidae.